RNAcentral lists this long non-coding RNA (460 nucleotides) under Anser cygnoides (Swan goose). RNAcentral's name for it is "lncRNA (ENSACDG00005013612.1)". The record is from RNAcentral. Lineage: Eukaryota; Metazoa; Chordata; Aves; Anseriformes; Anatidae.
AUGAGCCCCAGAGCUCCUGCUGUCCCAAAGCUACAAGUGCUGCUGGCUCUUUUCUUCCAUGACCAACUCUUGGCUCCACUGCCUGAUGCUUUAAAUGUACUAGGGAAGGCAGAUAUGGUGCUAACAUUGCAACUGCUCUUUGUGUACAGGAUCACUGCCUGGCCAAGACAUACCUAUCCUUUUCCAGGGACAACAAUCCACUGCAAACCAUCUUCAGUAUUUCAUGAUGCUGGCUUCCAGAGAACACAAGUAUUUCCCCAGAUAAUUAUCCUUUGGAAACUUCUGCACUAACUCCUUUUUAAAACAAAACAGGCAGAGUGGCAAGACUAUCAAGAGAAAGAAAGAAAGAUCAGAAAUGUUACAAGCUCAACAGCAAGGAACUAACAAAAUCAUGCAGGACGAGAAUUGAGGCUCUUUAUUUAUUUAUUUUUUCUCCUGAAUAAACUACUCACCAGAGCCA